This is a non-coding RNA of Podarcis lilfordi (Lilford's wall lizard), 70 nucleotides long. The record is from the annotation of a GenBank genome assembly. Lineage: Eukaryota; Metazoa; Chordata; Lepidosauria; Squamata; Lacertidae.
GGAUAGCUCAGUUGGUUAGAGCGUGGCGCUGAUAAUGCCAAGGCCUCAGGUUCAAUCCCAGUAAGGAACG